CGGGGUGUGGCUCAACUUGGAUAGAGCACCUGCUUUGGGAGCAGGGGGUUGCUGGUUCAAAUCCAGUCACCCCGA
Molecule: transfer RNA, 75 nt
Filed under: candidate division WOR-1 bacterium RIFCSPHIGHO2_02_FULL_45_12
Lineage: Bacteria; Bacillati
Also listed under: 1 other name
Description: tRNA-Pro
Rfam family: tRNA
About the family: Transfer RNA (tRNA) molecules are approximately 80 nucleotides in length.
Source: RNAcentral